Molecule: ribosomal RNA, 396 nt
Filed under: uncultured bacterium
Lineage: Bacteria
Description: partial 16S ribosomal RNA
Rfam family: Bacterial small subunit ribosomal RNA
Source: RNAcentral
AUACGGAGGGUCCGAGCGUUAAUCGGAAUUACUGGGCGUAAAGCGCGCGUAGGUGGUUCAGUCAGUCAGAUGUGAAAGCCCCGGGCUCAACCUGGGAACUGCACCUGAUACUGCUGAGCUAGAGUACGGUAGAGGGCAGUGGAAUUUCCGGUGUAGCGGUGAAAUGCGUAGAGAUCGGAAGGAACACCAGUGGCGAAGGCGACUGCCUGGACUGAUACUGACACUGAGGUGCGAAAGCGUGGGUAGCAAACAGGAUUAGAUCCCCUGGUAGUCCACGCCGUAAACGAUGUCAACUAGCCGUUGGGGGACUUGAUCCUUUAGUGGCGAAGCUAACGCGAUAAGUUGACCGCCUGGGGAGUACGGCCGCAAGGUUAAAACUCAAAUGAAUUGACGGGG